UGCCAGUGUUGGAACUACGGUGAAACUGCU
RNAcentral lists this non-coding RNA (30 nucleotides) under Rattus norvegicus (Norway rat). Lineage: Eukaryota; Metazoa; Chordata; Mammalia; Rodentia; Muridae. The record is from RNAcentral.